GUUUGCUUUAGGGCUGAAACGAUUACUCGAGUAACUCGAGUAACUCGAUUAAUAAAAUUCCUCGAGGCAAAUUAUAUGCCUCGAGGAAUCGUUUAAAUCCGGAACCAUGUGCAGCGCACGGUGUUUGACACGGACGGUUAUUUCUGUUGCGCAGCAGCGUGCUCUUUCCGCUCCUUCCGCUGCCGCGCGUUUGGUUCAAUCAUGGGCUGUGUCCGAAAUGGCAUACUGCCUACUAUCUACUUACCUACUCAAGCAGUAGCUACUGCCUACUGACUACUCAAAGAUGAUUUGAGUAUGCCGCGGCUGCCCGAGCGUUUACACACAUACAUACUACAUACCCCAGAAUGCAUUUCGUGCCGGCCGGACGCAGCGCCGGGAAAAUUUAAAUAGUCCUACCACAAGCUACACAGAACGACUGCAUCCCGGACA
Xyrichtys novacula (pearly razorfish) is the source of this 429-nucleotide non-coding RNA. The record is from the annotation of a GenBank genome assembly. NCBI's taxonomy places the organism in Eukaryota, Metazoa, Chordata, Actinopteri, Labriformes, Labridae.